UACGUAGGGUGCGAGCGUUGUCCGGAAUUAUUGGGCGUAAAGAGCUUGUAGGCGGUUUGUCGCGUCUGCUGUGAAAUUCCAGGGCUUAACCCUGGGCUUGCAGUGGGUACGGGCAGACUAGAGUGUGGUAGGGGAGACUGGAAUUCCUGGUGUAGCGGUGAAAUGCGCAGAUAUCAGGAGGAACACCAAUGGCGAAGGCAGAUCUCUGGGCCGUAACUGACGCUGAGGAGCGAAAGCAUGGGGAGCGAACAGG
RNAcentral lists this ribosomal RNA (253 nucleotides) under uncultured bacterium. RNAcentral describes it as "partial 16S ribosomal RNA". It matches the Rfam family "Bacterial small subunit ribosomal RNA", at positions 524 to 776 of the family's 1533-position model. The record is from RNAcentral.